AACGCGAAGAACCUUACCUACCCUUGACAUGUCUGCGAAGAGAUCAGAGAAGGUUUCGUGCCGAAAGGAACGCAGAGACAGGUGCUGCAUGGCUGUCGUCAGCUCGUGUUGUGAGAUGUUGGGUUAAGUCCCGUAACGAGCGCAACCCUUGUCCUUAGUUGCCAUCAUUUAGUUGGGGACUCUAAGGAGACUGCCGGUGAAGAACCGGAGGAAGGCGGGGACGACGUCAAGUCAUCAUGGCCUUUAUGGGUAGGGCUACACACGUGCUACAAUGGGGCGUACAGAGGGUAGCGAACCCGCGAGGGGAAGCCAAUCUCAGAAAGCGCCUCGUAGUCCAGAUUGGAGUCUGCAACUCGACUCCAUGAAGUUGGAAUCGCUAGUAAUCGCGAAUCAGCAACGUCGCGGUGAAUACGUUCCCGGGCCUUGUA
This 428-nucleotide ribosomal RNA is filed under the name uncultured Gammaproteobacteria bacterium. RNAcentral describes it as "bacterial SSU rRNA". It matches the Rfam family "Bacterial small subunit ribosomal RNA", at positions 958 to 1385 of the family's 1533-position model. The record is from RNAcentral. Lineage: Bacteria; Pseudomonadati; Pseudomonadota; Gammaproteobacteria.